Molecule: ribosomal RNA, 1372 nt
Filed under: uncultured bacterium
Lineage: Bacteria
Description: bacterial SSU rRNA
Rfam family: Bacterial small subunit ribosomal RNA
Source: RNAcentral
GAUGAACGCUGGCGGCGUGCCUAAUACAUGCAAGUCGAGCGAACGGACGAGAAGCUUGCUUCUCUGAUGUUAGCGGCGGACGGGUGAGUAGCACGUGGAUAACCUACCUAUAAGACUGGGAUAACUUCGGGAAACCGGAGCUAAUACCGGAUAAUAUUUUGAACCGCAUGGUUCAAAAGUGAAAGACGGUCUUGCUGUCACUUAUAGAUGGAUCCGCGCUGCAUUAGCUAGUUGGUAAGGUAACGGCUUACCAAGGCAACGAUGCAUAGCCGACCUGAGAGGGUGAUCGGCCACACUGGAACUGAGACACGGUCCAGACUCCUACGGGAGGCAGCAGUAGGGAAUCUUCCGCAAUGGGCGAAAGCCUGACGGAGCAACGCCGCGUGAGUGAUGAAGGUCUUCGGAUCGUAAAACUCUGUUAUUAGGGAAGAACAUAUGUGUAAGUAACUGUGCACAUCUUGACGGUACCUAAUCAGAAAGCCACGGCUAACUACGUGCCAGCAGCCGCGGUAAUACGUAGGUGGCAAGCGUUAUCCGGAAUUAUUGGGCGUAAAGCGCGCGUAGGCGGUUUUUUAAGUCUGAUGUGAAAGCCCACGGCUCAACCGUGGAGGGUCAUUGGAAACUGGAAAACUUGAGUGCAGAAGAGGAAAGUGGAAUUCCAUGUGUAGCGGUGAAAUGCGCAGAGAUAUGGAGGAACACCAGUGGCGAAGGCGACUUUCUGGUCUGUAACUGACGCUGAUGUGCGAAAGCGUGGGGAUCAAACAGGAUUAGAUACCCUGGUAGUCCACGCCGUAAACGAUGAGUGCUAAGUGUUAGGGGGUUUCCGCCCCUUAGUGCUGCAGCUAACGCAUUAAGCACUCCGCCUGGGGAGUACGACCACAAGGUUGAAACUCAAAGGAAUUGACGGGGACCCGCACAAGCGGUGGAGCAUGUGGUUUAAUUCGAAGCAACGCGAAGAACCUUACCAAAUCUUGACAUCCUUUGACAACUCUAGAGAUAGAGCUUUCCCCUUCGGGGGACAAAGUGACAGGUGGUGCAUGGUUGUCGUCAGCUCGUGUCGUGAGAUGUUGGGUUAAGUCCCGCAACGAGCGCAACCCUUAAGCUUAGUUGCCAUCAUUAAGUUGGGCACUCUAAGUUGACUGCCGGUGACAAACCGGAGGAAGGUGGGGAUGACGUCAAAUCAUCAUGCCCCUUAUGAUUUGGGCUACACACGUGCUACAAUGGACAAUACAAAGGGCAGCGAAACCGCGAGGUCAAGCAAAUCCCAUAAAGUUGUUCUCAGUUCGGAUUGUAGUCUGCAACUCGACUACAUGAAGCUGGAAUCGCUAGUAAUCGUAGAUCAGCAUGCUACGGUGAAUACGUUCCCGGGUCU